RNAcentral lists this long non-coding RNA (868 nucleotides) under Homo sapiens (human). RNAcentral's name for it is "HSALNT0022560". The record is from RNAcentral. Lineage: Eukaryota; Metazoa; Chordata; Mammalia; Primates; Hominidae.
AAGACCUUUAAAUCUAACAUUAUCAGAAUCCCCCUGCUGUAUUCAAGUCAAAGGACCAAAAAUGGACAUGAAAAUUGCCAAUGAAACCCUUCCAUCAAUGAAUACGUUUUUACAAAUAUUAUCUAAAUUCUCAUUAUAUUUGUUGUAACAACCUGUUUUAUACCAACUAGAAAGAACACUAAGUUAUUGUGUAUGGUUUUAAUUUCCUGGACCCAGGAAUCUUCCAGUUUAAUCAAAUUCAACAUGGACUCAUUUAAUGACUACUCAAGUGUUUAUGUAUUAUUCAACAGAUUUGUCUUAGAGAACUUAAAACAAUAUAGUACAUUGAUUGUUUCAGUUCUUAAAGAUAUUUACAAAAACAUGUUUUAGUUCAACAUGUAUGCAAAGGUAACUUAACAGUUACUACACUAUCAUUAAACAUCUUUUUGUUUUGGUGUACAUUCCUGCAUGAGUUACGCAGUUCUGUAAAUGACCUAUCAAACUAUAAUGUAGAGUAUAUAUACUUUCCAGUAGGCCAUAUAUUUGAUACCUGAUAACAUCAGAAGUUAAAGUUUCACAGCAUUAAUGCUGUGGAUCACGGUCUCCAAAUAAUCCCUCUCUGUGGCAGAAUUCCUUUUUAUUUUAAUUGGUACUAAUGAACUUUUGAAUCUGAAUUUAUUUCUAUGACUGACAAAAGUUCUCUUCAUUUGAUUUCAGCCCCUAUCUGUUUCUCUGACUUGCCUCAAAUUACAGAUUAAAGUAAACCACUUGGAUUAGCUGUGCAGUUGUUUCUGGAUAGGAGUAUGACAACUUCAUUCUCAAUCACCCAAUAAUUAUUUUUAAAAGACUGUUAACUACUUCAUAAAUAAAGUACUGUAUAAAAUGUUUG